GUGACCUGCGGAAGGAUCAUUAUCGUGACAAAAGACGUGAGAGGCGCUCCGAAGGCUGUCGCCGACUCGAAAGGGUCGUGCACGCCGGAGGCAAGCGUCCUCUUGCGUGAAAUCCAUCUCACCCUUUUGUGCACCACCGCGUGGGUCCCCUCUUCGAGGGGACUCGCGUUUUCACACAAACCCCCCCGUAAUGAACGUGUAGAAUGACCCCACUUUUUGCGAUGACUCGCAACAAAUACAACUUUCAACAACGGAUCUCUGGGCUCUCGCAUCGAUGAAGAACGCAGCGAAAUGCGAUACGUAAUGUGAAUUGCAGAAUUCAGUGAAUCAUCGAAUCUUUGAACGCACCUUGCGCCCCUUGGUAUUCCAAGGGGCACACCCGUUUGAGUGUCGGGAAAUCCUCAACCUCUCAGGUUUUUUCUGGGAGGCUUGGACUUUGGAGGCCUGUGCUGGACCAAAAGGGCCAGCUCCUCUCAAAUGAAUUAGCGGGGUCCCCUUUGCCGAUCCUCGACGUGUGAUAAGAGGAUUUCCACGCCUUGGCCUUUGGCUCUGUUGCCUUCUGGGACCUGCUUCCAAUCGUCUCUCCUAGAGACAACGUUCGAGCUUUUGCCUCGACCACGCACCCUUGACCUCAAAUCGGGUGAAGACUACCCGCUGAACUUAAGCAUAUCAAUAAGGGGAGGAAAA
This 687-nucleotide ribosomal RNA is filed under the name Lactarius melanogalus. Its description in RNAcentral is "eukaryotic LSU rRNA". The stretch from base 240 to 393 matches the Rfam family "5.8S ribosomal RNA". Lineage: Eukaryota; Fungi; Basidiomycota; Agaricomycetes; Russulales; Russulaceae. The record is from RNAcentral.